This 75-nucleotide transfer RNA is filed under the name Marmota monax (woodchuck). RNAcentral's name for it is "tRNA.Ala". The record is from RNAcentral. Lineage: Eukaryota; Metazoa; Chordata; Mammalia; Rodentia; Sciuridae.
UUGGGGAUGUAGCUCAGUGGUAGAGUACUUGCUUAGCAUGUGCAAGGCCCUGGGUUUAAUCCCCAAUUCUGCAAG